Molecule: unclassified non-coding RNA, 240 nt
Filed under: soil metagenome
Description: partial contains 5.8S ribosomal RNA, internal transcribed spacer 2, and large subunit ribosomal RNA
Source: RNAcentral
AACGCACGAGACCUGCGGACCUGCGGAGGGAUCAUUAAUGAGAAGCUGCCCCUCGUGGGUAGACCUCCCACCCUCUGUGAACUUACCUUUGCUGCUUUGGCAGGCCCGUCCUCUGGACCGCCGGCUUCGGCUGGCCCGUGCCUGCCAGAGGAUUCCAAACCCUGUCUGUCAGUGUUGUCUGAGUCUAUAUGAAAUCGUUAAAACUUUCAACAAUGGAUCUCUAGAUCGGAAGAGCACACG